This 468-nucleotide ribosomal RNA is filed under the name uncultured bacterium. RNAcentral describes it as "partial 16S ribosomal RNA". It matches the Rfam family "Bacterial small subunit ribosomal RNA", at positions 28 to 507 of the family's 1533-position model. The record is from RNAcentral.
GACGAACGCUGGCGGCGUGCUUAACACAUGCAAGUCGAACGGAAAGGCCCUGCUUUUGUGGGGUGCUCGAGUGGCGAACGGGUGAGUAACACGUGAGUAACCUGCCCUGGACUUUGGGAUAACUUCAGGAAACUGGGGCUAAUACCGGAUAGGAGCUCCUGCUGCAUGGUGGGGGUUGGAAAGUUUCGGCGGUUGGGGAUGGACUCGCGGCUUAUCAGCUUGUUGGUGGGGUAGUGGCUUACCAAGGCUUUGACGGGUAGCCGGCCUGAGAGGGUGACCGGCCACAUUGGGACUGAGAUACGGCCCAGACUCCUACGGGAGGCAGCAGUGGGGAAUAUUGCACAAUGGGCAGAAGCCUGAUGCAGCAACGCCGCGUGCGGGAUGACGGCCUUCGGGUUGUAAACCGCUUUCGCCUGUGACGAAGCGUGAGUGACGGUAAUGGGUAAAGAAGCACCGGCUAACUACGUG